RNAcentral lists this long non-coding RNA (366 nucleotides) under Gallus gallus (chicken). Lineage: Eukaryota; Metazoa; Chordata; Aves; Galliformes; Phasianidae. The record is from RNAcentral.
UAUAUAUGGGUCACUCUCCUGGAUUCACUGCACAUAUGAACAUCAACAACUUAAUGGAUGGUGUAUAUCCAUUUUAUAGGAUAACAUGGCAUUGUUUGAUGAGCCAACUAGAAAUAUGUCUCAUCUGAACCAUGAAAUUUUCUUUCAAUUCUUGCAGGUAAAAGAUUGCCAUUGUUUUGCACUGCAGCCACUCACUGAUGUGGAUCAACUGUGCCAGUCACUCCACCACUGUAAAUACGGAACUGCUUUAUUCAGCUCCCUGAAGCUUAAUCAGCCUGCUUUUAAAACAGCUUGUGAGCCCCUUUGGUCUGAAGCUUCCUCCUACCAGGUUGCUUCAUUUCUCUGCGUCAGAGCACGUGCAUGUGG